This 88-nucleotide non-coding RNA is filed under the name Veillonella magna. RNAcentral's name for it is "TPP riboswitch (THI element)". It matches the Rfam family "TPP riboswitch aptamer (THI element)", at positions 6 to 97 of the family's 105-position model. Rfam says of the family: Vitamin B(1) in its active form thiamin pyrophosphate (TPP) is an essential coenzyme that is synthesised by coupling of pyrimidine and thiazole moieties in bacteria. Lineage: Bacteria; Bacillati; Bacillota; Negativicutes; Veillonellales; Veillonellaceae. The record is from RNAcentral.
AGCCACUAGGGGUGCUAACUGCUGAGAUUGACACCAGUCAAAUCCCUUUGACCUGAUCCGGAUAAUGCCGGCGUAGGAAAGUGGUGUA